GAGAAUAUAGUAAAAAAAUUACGUAAGUUUGUCAGGCUUAAUUUAUUAUAUGUUUUAAUUUUUCUCU
This 67-nucleotide transfer RNA is filed under the name Cuspidaria undata. Its description in RNAcentral is "tRNA-Asp". The record is from RNAcentral. Lineage: Eukaryota; Metazoa; Mollusca; Bivalvia; Cuspidariidae.